GGGUAUAUUUCAGUGGUAUAUCACUUGUCUACAACGCAUGUGGCCCUGGGUUCAAUCCUCAGCACCACA
This 69-nucleotide transfer RNA is filed under the name Marmota monax (woodchuck). RNAcentral describes it as "tRNA.Cys". The record is from RNAcentral. Lineage: Eukaryota; Metazoa; Chordata; Mammalia; Rodentia; Sciuridae.